RNAcentral lists this ribosomal RNA (465 nucleotides) under Vreelandella stevensii. Its description in RNAcentral is "partial 16S ribosomal RNA". It matches the Rfam family "Bacterial small subunit ribosomal RNA", at positions 338 to 795 of the family's 1533-position model. The record is from RNAcentral. Lineage: Bacteria; Pseudomonadati; Pseudomonadota; Gammaproteobacteria; Oceanospirillales; Halomonadaceae.
CCUACGGGGGGCUGCAGUGGGGAAUAUUGGACAAUGGGGGGAACCCUGAUCCAGCCAUGCCGCGUGUGUGAAGAAGGCCCUCGGGUUGUAAAGCACUUUCAGUGAGGAAGAACGCCUGGUGGUUAAUACCCAUCAGGAAAGACAUCACUCACAGAAGAAGCACCGGCUAACUCCGUGCCAGCAGCCGCGGUAAUACGGAGGGUGCGAGCGUUAAUCGGAAUUACUGGGCGUAAAGCGCGCGUAGGUGGCUUGAUAAGCCGGUUGUGAAAGCCCCGGGCUCAACCUGGGAACGGCAUCCGGAACUGUCAAGCUAGAGUGCAGGAGAGGAAGGUAGAAUUCCCGGUGUAGCGGUGAAAUGCGUAGAGAUCGGGAGGAAUACCAGUGGCGAAGGCGGCCUUCUGGACUGACACUGACACUGAGGUGCGAAAGCGUGGGUAGCAAACAGGAAUAGAUACCCUUGUAGUC